GAUGAAGGAACGCAGCGAAAUGCGAUAAGUAAUGUGAAUUGCAGAAUUCAGUGAAUCAUCGAAUCUUUGAACGCACAUUGCGCCCGCCAGUAUUCUGGCGGGCAUGCCUGUUCGAGCGUCAUUACAACCCUCAGGCCCCCGGGCCUGGCGUUGGGGAUCGGCGGAAGCCCCCUGCGGGCACAACGCCGUCCCCCAAAUACAGUGGCGGUCCCGCCGCAGCUUCCAUUGCGUAGUAGCUAACACCUCGCAACCGGAGAGCGGCGCGGCCACGCCGUAAAACACCCAACUUCUGAAUGUUGACCUCGAAUCAGGUAGGAAUACCCGCUGAACUUAAGCAUAUCAAUAAGCGGAGGA
RNAcentral lists this unclassified non-coding RNA (354 nucleotides) under soil metagenome. RNAcentral's name for it is "partial contains 5.8S ribosomal RNA, internal transcribed spacer 2, and large subunit ribosomal RNA". The stretch from base 1 to 121 matches the Rfam family "5.8S ribosomal RNA", at positions 35 to 154 of the family's 154-position model. The record is from RNAcentral.